RNAcentral lists this ribosomal RNA (467 nucleotides) under uncultured bacterium. RNAcentral describes it as "partial 16S ribosomal RNA". It matches the Rfam family "Bacterial small subunit ribosomal RNA", at positions 28 to 507 of the family's 1533-position model. The record is from RNAcentral.
GACGAACGCUGGCGGCGUGCUUAACACAUGCAAGUCGAACGGAAAGGCCUCUUUCGGGGGGUACUCGAGUGGCGAACGGGUGAGUAACACGUGAGUAACCUGCCCUUGACUUUGGGUUACCUUCAGGAAACUGGGGCUAAUACCGGAUAGUCGCUCCUGCUGCAUGGUGGGGGUUUGAGAGUUUCGGCGGUUGGGGGUGCCCUCGCGGCUUAUCCGCUUUUUGGUGGGGUAGUGGCUUACCAAGGCGUUGACGGGUAGCCGGACUGAGAGGGUGAACGGCCGCAUUGGGACUGAGAGGAGGCACAGACUCGUACGGGAGGCAGAUGGGGGGAAUAUUGCACAAUGGGUGGAAGCCGGAUGCAGAAAGGCCGUGGGCGGGAUGACGGCCUUCGGGUUGUAAAACGGUUGCGCUCAUGACGAAGCUUUGUGUGACGGUAGUGGGUAAAGAAGCACCGGCUAACUACGUG